UUGAAACAGGAUCCCAGCGGAGGGUGGGGUGAAGACAGCGGGUCUGCUCGCUCCAGACUGCGGGGGAAGAGGUAGGCGCUUGCCUGGCGGCCCAGGAAGCGGGACCCACAUUCCUCAGCGGGGAGGGUCUGCUCCAGCCCUGCUCCCGCCGACAGGGAAGGUCCCAGCCGCGAUUGCGGAAGGGGGUCGGAGGUGAACAGCCUCUGCGCUCCCAGGUACAGCCGGCCAGGCUGCCGACUGGAGGAAAAAGCGAGAAGCCCCAGUCCCUUCCUGCCGUCUCGAGGGCAGUCCAUCCUCGGGCUUCCGCCUUUCUUUGAUCCCGCCUCCUCUGAUAGAUCACUGCAUCUAUCAGUCCUUCCUGACUACCUCCAACUCCAGCUUCCAAAGGCGGCCGCUGACUUCACUAAGCCGUUGUGGAGCACACCCCUCAGUCCUCCGCCAGCGCUGGUAACGGUGCUCGUGACGAAAGAAUAACUGAGGAUGGCACCGGCACCGAUCUAGCAAUUUAGCCAAGAUUACAUAACCAGCAAAAGCAGAGCCUGACAAGAUCCCAAAUCCAGCCAACUGCUGAGUGCUUACUAUGUGCCAGCCAUUAUUCUAAGCCCUUUAUAGGAACGAUUGCAGUCACAGAAGAAAGAAACUGAGGCACGGUCGCACAGCUAGUGUGUGGUAGACCUGGGAUUUGUAACAGGGGAACGCUGCUCUUCACCACCUAUUCUGUUUUCUUUUUGACACUUGUUAUAUUUAGUUCAACACUUGAUUAUAAUGUCUGGCGUUGUUUCUAAUUGUUUUAAUCUAUAUAGCUUAUUUCCGAUAAAGAUCGCCAUCUUUCCUUAGGGCAGAAGUCACAGGAUGCACUCAGUAAAGCCAUGGCGAAUUCAGCUGCUCUAUUGUGGUAGACCUCAGGAAAGGGAGGAGAUGUCAACACGGUGAAGGGCCCCCGGCCUCUAUGCUUGCAGCCCGGAGAAGGAGCCAGGGCUGGCUGGGAUGGGGAAUGAACUCCCAAACUUGGAGG
Molecule: long non-coding RNA, 1015 nt
Filed under: Equus asinus (donkey)
Lineage: Eukaryota; Metazoa; Chordata; Mammalia; Perissodactyla; Equidae
Description: lncRNA (ENSEASG00005037437.1)
Source: RNAcentral